UCCCUGGGGGCUCAGAGGUUAAAGCAUCUGCCUGCAAUGCGGGAGACCUGGGUUCGACCCCUGGUUUGGGAA
RNAcentral lists this transfer RNA (72 nucleotides) under Capra hircus (goat). It matches the Rfam family "tRNA". Rfam says of the family: Transfer RNA (tRNA) molecules are approximately 80 nucleotides in length. RNAcentral also lists the same sequence under 1 other name. Lineage: Eukaryota; Metazoa; Chordata; Mammalia; Artiodactyla; Bovidae. The record is from Rfam by way of RNAcentral.